AACCAUAGAAACCUGCGGAGUACCUGCGGAGGGAUCAUUACAGAGUUGCAAAACUCCCUAAACCAUUGUGAACGUUACCUAAACCGUUGCUUCGGCGGGCGGCCCGGGUCCUUCCCGGCGCCCCUCGGCCCUCGCGGGCGCCCGCCGGAGGUAAACCAAACUAUUGCAUUGUAUGGCCUCUCUGAGUCCUCUGUACUGAAUAAGUCAAAACUUUCAGCAACGGAUCUCAGAUCGGAAGAG
RNAcentral lists this unclassified non-coding RNA (240 nucleotides) under soil metagenome. RNAcentral describes it as "partial contains 5.8S ribosomal RNA, internal transcribed spacer 2, and large subunit ribosomal RNA". The record is from RNAcentral.